This is a long non-coding RNA of Podarcis muralis (Common wall lizard), 1548 nucleotides long. RefSeq lists it as uncharacterized. Lineage: Eukaryota; Metazoa; Chordata; Lepidosauria; Squamata; Lacertidae. The record is from RefSeq and is a predicted model, not a curated record.
CUCCUCCUCCCAGUCAAAGGAGCCCACCGGAGGAGCCCAUCCUGCGAUCUCCGGAUCUGUCCCUCGCCGCGCCUCGCGCCUCCUCCUCCUGGUCUCCUUAGGCGCCUUCGCUGCUCUGCGCGCCGCGGAGAAAGAGAUCCGCCCAGGGAGGUGGGGAAGAUGCCGGGCAGGGGGAGGAGGAGGCGGCGGCAGCAGCAGCAGCAUCCAAAAGGGACCCGAGACCCAGCAACCGGGCGGCGGAGGCAACCUGCCCGCCUCGCCCCGUCCGCUUCGGAUGAUGACAAAAGGGCGGCUCCCCUCCGCGCCCCGAGCGCCCCCCUCCGGACGGCUGCGCGCACGGCCAGAGGCGCCGCGUCCCUCGGCCCCCGAGCCGCCGCGCUGCCUCGUCUUCUGCUGCAGGGAGGAGCGGUGACGCAAUGGGCCGCUGGCACCAGGAGGCCCCCCAGCCGGGUGGGCCGGAAGGAUGCGCCCCUCUCCUUUAAGGGGCUGGAAGGAGAAGAAGAAGCCGGCGAUGGAGCUGGCCUCCCUCCUUUAUAUGGCUGCGCGGCACUGGUUUUUAAUGGCGUUACUUAGGAGUAGGAGUAGGCUGCUGCUCAGGAGUCGACAGGGGAAGGGCACCUGCUUGGCACCCCACGUAGGGCGGGGAGAGAAACGCCCGUCCAAGAUCCCGGAGAGCCGCCGCUGCCAGUCUCUGUAGGCAGCACGGGGUCGAGGGACCCAACGGUCUGAGUCGGUGCGCUGCGGCGGCGAUCUACAGACCUCGUUGCGCAUGUGGGAAGAUGCUGCCUUUGAAAUGUAGCGCGCAUCUGGCGCUGGCGCGGGAGGAGCAGGGCGCCACUCUGUGGCCCGCGAGACGGGAGCCUCGGACGCGGGGCUGCGGGAGAGGGAAGAGGCAAGGAGCCAGGACCAGCUCUGCCGAUCAGGGGUCACGUUUUUGUGAAACGAUCUCGCCCAGCCCGAUGAGAUCCUUGAUGGAACGUUCGCUGCUUGCCUCCUUCCCAGGACCUGAUCCUGGUUCACCGUGGGAAGGUAGACACCAGAGGACUUCUUCUUCAUUCGGGUGAUGGGGGCCUUGACAGGCAUGGGGCCAAAGUGUUCAUUCAGCAUCUCACCCAGGAUCACAGCGGAAGGUGCCGGGGCAAGCUGAGGCAGCUGCUGCGUUUCUUGCAUCGCCAUCCUCACACCCUGGAUAUGACAAAGCAGAGCUGAUGAGCAUCAGGAGCAGCCUGGUCAUGGCAAGAGAGUCACCAGCUGCAGGAAUGCAGAGCAGGGCUUUCAAUGUGAUGGCCCCUCUUGUGGAACAGCAUCCCCCGUUGAGAUAUGCCAGGCACACACUAUCAGGACUUUACAGAAACCAAGGAAGAUGUUUUUAUCCAGUUAAAUGAAAAUGUCUCUUCUCAGCCUUUGGUGCACAUUUUGUAUUGUUUUCAAACCCCUCAGUUGCUUCUUGUUCUCUUUAAAGCUAUUUCAGCUGUUUGUAUGUUAUGUCUGUAAAUUGCUUUAAGUCAUAUGGAAAUGGCUACACACAAAUAAAUAAAUAAUCACCAA